GCGGAUGUGGCGGAAUUGGUAGACGCGCUAGCUUCAGGUGCUAGUGCCCGCAAGGGCGUGGAGGUUCAAGUCCUCUUAUCCGCACCA
This 87-nucleotide transfer RNA is filed under the name Candidatus Saccharibacteria bacterium 47-87. RNAcentral describes it as "tRNA-Leu". It matches the Rfam family "tRNA". Rfam says of the family: Transfer RNA (tRNA) molecules are approximately 80 nucleotides in length. Their secondary structure includes four short double-helical elements and three loops (D, anti-codon, and T loops). Lineage: Bacteria; Candidatus Saccharimonadota. The record is from RNAcentral. RNAcentral also lists the same sequence under 2 other names.